AUGCCAAUAAUCAUUAACAAAUGGCUGUAUUGUGUUAAGAAAAGUGUUUUAUUGCCUCUCGUGUGUGCAUUACUUUUAUUCAUUUACUCUCCUCUUCUCAUCUCUUCUACUGAAGUGGAUGGGGAAAUGUGGUGCUACCAGAAGCCGGGGUUUGAGGACCUCCUCCUCACUGAGCUGCAGAGACAGCAACAGUGCAGCCGGUUUUGUGACACUCUUCUCAAAGCAGGCGGUUUAUCAGUGCCAGUACACAGUUGUCUUCUGUCAGCUAUCAGCCCCCACAUCUCCUCCUCUCUUUCCUCUAAACCAGCUGCUCCUGGAGGACAGAGCCACCUUUUUGAGUUUAAGGACCUGAGUUUAUCCACCCUGCUCCGCAUAGUUGGACUUGUGUACACUGGAGAGAUGGCAGGAGAAGGAGAAAAGGAAAAACAAGAGGCUGUUUCUGCAGCAGCCAAGCUGGGCAUCCACGGGCUGGUGGAGGUUACAAAAAAAGAUUGUAGAAGCAAAACCAGGAAAGAAGUUGACUGUUUUGAAGUAGGAGUGCAGACAGAACCUCAGAUAGUUGAGGUGAUCCAUGGCAGCAGAUGGAGGAGAGAGGUGAGAAAUGGAAGUGUCUUUCUGUGGAAAGAGACACAAUCAAACGGUGGAAAUGACAUGCAGACUCAGACAGAGCAGCUGCAGAUAAACACAGCUCCCCCUCCCCAACCAACCUACUCCUAUGAGACUAUUGAUAUGGAUACGCUCCAGAGUUUAGGUCAGAAAGAUUCAUAUGCUGUCCCUCAGAUCGUCCCCAUAUCCCUCAUCUACCCACCAAAUGAAAACCAAGCAUGCCAACCUUCCUCUACGCCUUCUGCCUCAGAGCAACAAUCAGCAGCAGCCACAGGCACAUCUGUCACUGUUGUGCCAGUGCCACACACAUCUGCCCCUCAGUCCCUUCCUCAUUUUUCCAGUCAAAUGAUCCACUGUGCUGCUGACCAUCCAAACUGUUGGACUAGCCCUCAAGGUGCAGUGGCUGGAGAGUGGGAGGAUGCACAUAUUGAGCAGUUUCAAAGCAACAUCCCAGGAUUCAUCAACUACUUCCUGAGCACAGGCCAAGAGGAGUGUUCACGUAGGGGGAGAGCAGGGAGGAGACGAGGCACUCGGGUGAGCGGUAGCAGGAGAGGCAGGACGGGAGAAAGAAGAGCCAGGAGACCACGAGCACGAACGGGAGGGAUGGGUCGGGGAGCGUUUACUCAGACGGUGGACGUGCAGGAGGUAACUGUGGUCAAGCUGCAUAAACUUUUUCUGCAGAGGUACGGAAUGAGGGUACCCAGGACUGGUCAGGGUGGAGGAGCCGUUGGGAGGAAGUUGAGCUUGAAGACCCGAGAGCUUCUCAAUCCAGCCAAAGGCCAACAAAGAAGAAGGCGCAGCAAAGUGUGGGAGUUUAGCCAAAGUGGAGAUCUGCUGCUCUGCUCUGAGGGAAAAGAUGGUCGCAGCCAGCAUGGAAGGAGGCUACAAAGUCUGAUGACAGGAUCAACAACAUCAGUUCCUUGUCCUUUCCCUCCCAUGAGAGACUGCAAUGUUCAUACUUGUGUCUCCAGUCCUGCUAUUCAGCCUUCUCCAAACCCCAACCUGUCAUCACCUGCAACCUCCUAUGUGUCUUCAGCAAUGUCUCUCCUCCACACAGCCUCCUUGCCUCCCGCGCCCCCUCCACCUCAUGAGGACCAGCCUGAACACAUUGAACGUCUCCUGGAGGAAGUCAUGCGGGGGCUCAACAUUUUACCAAACAGCAACAACGCCGCUCGACAUUCUCAGCGACCCCUUUCACCAAUCAGAGAGCAGCAGUACUAUACUAAUGACACAGAAGCCGUUGUUGUAGACAGAGGAGUCGGUUGUUCCAAUUCUGCAAAUGGCGGCGCACCUGUUCUUCAGCAGCAGUCUGAGGGAGAGCUGAAUCAGAUGCUGGACCACUUCCUUCAGUCAUUUGAAAAGCAUGUUGAAAGCUCUAAUGUCAGGGAAGAGAGAGAGACGCCGCAAAGCUCUGCAGAGGCGAACCAGCCCAAAUACAAAACAAGAAAGAAUCGGACGCCUCAUCUACAAAAUACAGAAAGCCAGGAGAAUGCUGAGGGAACAUCAAGAAAAUCCAGAGGACAAAAGAAGAAGAAGAGAACAACAAAACAGUAUAUGUUCUCGUUAGAGAAAAAGAAAGUGAGGGUGAGGAAGCGGACAUUGUCAGCCGACAGAAAGAACAAAACUGUUCUUGACCAAAUAGAUAAACAGCUACAGCAGAUGCCUGUGGUAAAACUGGAAAGGAGAGGCCUGCUGCCAGUCGAAAGGAUACUUCAGGGACACAGCUGGCAGAGUCUUCAAAACAAGUGUCCUGAAAAAACAAGCAGCAGUGAGAAGCUGUCACCAGGUGUGUCACAGAAGAAAGAGUUUUGGAGCAGAAAGAUUUACCCAAUCAGGAGCAGAUUCAAGAAAGCACACAUUUUGGACUCUGAGCCCUUUCUUGAACAGCCCCCCUUAGCUGCCAAGCACCAGAAGAAAAAAAGAACUCCCAGUUCUUCAGAAGAUGAGAGAUUGCCAGUUGACCUAGAACUGCAGCAAAAUCAAGAGAACUCUGAAGAAGAAUCAAAUGUCCAGCAACAAGAAGAAAGUGCAGAGACAUUAAGGAACGGACAAAAGAGGGGAGCGGAAUUAGAUGAGGACACUCUUGUGAGCAAGAGGGUUUGCCUUGAGCCAGUGACACAUCAACCAACCCAAGGAUCAUGUAUACCACACCCUGUAGAUUCAGCAAGCAUGAAACCUGAGGAGAUAAUAGAUGUAGAGACUGUUUUUUUGUCCAUUGUUGGAGAGUGUUUGCAAAGAGAUGAACAAAAGGAAAGUCCAGUGUGCUGUGAAAUCAUGGAAGCUCUGGACCGUUCAGCAGCUGAAGAGGUAGAGAGCAGCUCUGAUGAGAUCAUUGAUGUGGAAGGAGACAAUGUGGACUCAGAGACUCUGGAGAACAAAGGAGCAGAAAAGGACCACAGCCAGGCCACAACAGCACAUUGUGAUGUUGACAUUAAGCCUUCAGUUUCACCUUCACUUGGUGGGUUGAGUGUGGAGUCAACACGAAGCCAGGAAGAAGACGAGGACAUCGAUGUGAUCGGAGGUUCCAGUCCCGUCCCUGAUCCGAUCAUCAUCAGCUGGACUGAAUCUUCAGAAACUGGGGAAGAGGAUGCGGAUGAGGAUGUUGACGUUUUUGAAGAAGAAGACAGACUGAACUGCUGUGAGCAAAAACACAGAGAGCUGUAACUUUGGCAUCCAUGAUGUCUGGUUUCAUUUUCCUUUUCUUUCUCAAUUUCUUUCAUUUAGCUGCAAGUUACAGGUGAUGAAGUUUCAAGAUGUACGUGAUCUCGUUUUGAAGCAGUCUUUAAAUUACCUUCUGUUUUUAUAGUGUUCAGACAAUUAUGUGAGAGACAUUUGUUUCCCUUGUCUGUUAAUGUUAAGGAAAAGAAGAUCUGUGCACUUAGGUUAGAACAGGACAACAGGCCUGUGUGCAGAUAUUUAAUUUCAAAUCUGUAAAGGUGCAGACUUUGUCAAGUUGUCAAAGGUUAGCACUUUACUUACUUUUACUUUUUGUACUUCUGGCAGUGAAUCACUGGUUUUAUGUACGGUUACAAGGUUUAUAUUACAUAUGUGUUCAGAAUGUGUUUGUAAUUGUUUUAAAACAUUUAGCAUUGUUUAACUGGAAACGUUCAGGUUUAGUACCGUCAAAGGACUAAUCAGUGUUUUAUAAGUUGUAUAUAUGACUUUAACCACAUAAGC
Molecule: long non-coding RNA, 3783 nt
Organism: Parambassis ranga (Indian glassy fish)
Lineage: Eukaryota; Metazoa; Chordata; Actinopteri; Ambassidae
Source: Ensembl